RNAcentral lists this ribosomal RNA (432 nucleotides) under uncultured bacterium. Its description in RNAcentral is "partial 16S ribosomal RNA". It matches the Rfam family "Bacterial small subunit ribosomal RNA", at positions 29 to 507 of the family's 1533-position model. The record is from RNAcentral.
AACGAACGCUGGCGGCAUGCCUAACACAUGCAAGUCGAACGAGACCUUCGGGUCUAGUGGCGCACGGGUGCGUAACGCGUGGGAACCUGCCCUUAGGUUCGGAAUAACUCCCCGAAAGGGGUGCUAAUACCGGAUAAUGUCUUCGGACCAAAGAUUUAUCGCCUUUGGAUGGGCCCGCGUUGGAUUAGCUAGUUGGUAGGGUAAAAGCCUACCAAGGCGACGAUCCAUAGCUGGUCUGAGAGGAUGAUCAGCCACACUGGGACUGAGACACGGCCCAGACCCCCAGGGGGGGGAGAAGGGGGGAAUAUGGGAAAAGGGGGGAAAGCCUAAUCCAGCAAGGCCGGGUAAGUGAGUAAGGCCUUAGGGUUAAAAAGCUCUUUUACCGGGGAUGAAAAGAAGGUUCCCGGGAAAAAAAGCCCCGGUAACCCCGUU